UACGGGGGGGGCUUAGUGUUAUUCGUCUUGAUGGGCGUAAAGGGAGCGUAGGUGGUUUGUAAGUAAUGGGUAAAAGACUGGUAAUAAGCCUUAAUCGCUAUUAGACUGCAAAACUUGAGUCUUACAGAAGAUACAGGACUAUUGUGGAGAAGUGAAAUCCGUCGAUACUAUAUGGACGUCAUUGCGAAAGCGUGUAUCACUGAAGAUACUGACACUGAGGCUCUAAAGCUGGGGAGCAAAAAGG
This 244-nucleotide ribosomal RNA is filed under the name uncultured bacterium. RNAcentral describes it as "partial 16S ribosomal RNA". It matches the Rfam family "Bacterial small subunit ribosomal RNA", at positions 524 to 776 of the family's 1533-position model. The record is from RNAcentral.